Molecule: transfer RNA, 75 nt
Filed under: Dicksonia karsteniana
Lineage: Eukaryota; Viridiplantae; Streptophyta; Polypodiopsida; Cyatheales; Dicksoniaceae
Description: partial tRNA-Gly
Rfam family: tRNA (bases 1-47)
About the family: Transfer RNA (tRNA) molecules are approximately 80 nucleotides in length.
Source: RNAcentral
UUUAGCCUUCCAAGCUACUGAUGCGGGUUCGAUUCCCGCUACCCGCUAAUAAUAGGGUCGGACCGCCCCGAACCU